AUACGGCCCAUAUUCCUACGGGAAGCAGCAGUGAGGAAUUUUUCACAAUGGACGAAAGUCUGAUGGAGCAAUACCAUGUGAACGAUGAAGGUCUUCUGAUUGUAAAGUUCUUUUAUUUAGGAAAAAAAGCUUGAGAGGAAAUGAUUAAGCCUUGAUAGUACUAAAUGAAUAAGUGACAGCUAACUAUGUGCCAGCAGCUGCGGUAAAACAUAGGUCACGAGCAUUAUCCGGAUUUAUUGGGCGUAAAGGAAGCGUAGGCGGACAAAUUGAUCUAUUGUUAAAGGCACUUGCUCAACGAGUUGUUUGUGAUAGAUAUCGUUUGUCUAGAAUUAGUUAGGAGAUACUGGAAUUCAAUGUGUAGCGGUGGAAUGCGUAGAUAUAUUGAGGAACACCAGAGGCUAAGGCGAGUAUCUAGGACAUAAUUGACGCUGAGGCUUGAAAGCGUGGGGAGCAAAUGGGAUUAGAUACCCCAGUAGUCCACGCCGUAAACGAUGGGUAUUAGGUAUUUGGUUUAGGACUGAGUGCUGUAGCUAACGCGUUAAAUACCCCGCCUGGGUAGUAUAUAUGCAAA
Molecule: ribosomal RNA, 571 nt
Filed under: Candidatus Mycoplasma haematominutum
Lineage: Bacteria; Bacillati; Mycoplasmatota; Mollicutes; Mycoplasmatales; Mycoplasmataceae
Description: bacterial SSU rRNA
Rfam family: Bacterial small subunit ribosomal RNA
Source: RNAcentral